CAAGAGCGUAUAUUAAAGUUCCUGCGGUUAAAAAGCUCGUAAUUGGAUUUCAGUCUAGGAAGGUUCACUCGCCGAAAGGUUGUACGUUGAUUUUCCUCAGACUUCGUCAGAAGCUCGUGUUGCACUUAACUGUGUGGUACGAUGUUCUGACCUUUUACCUUGAGGAAAGUAGAGUGUUUCAGGCAGGCUACCCAGCUUGAAUACGAAGGUAUUCGUACUUGAGAGUGAGGAGUGAAAUCCGAUGAUCUCUUAAAGACGAUCCGAGGCGAAAGCAUUUGUCAAGGAUGUUUUCAUUGA
RNAcentral lists this ribosomal RNA (297 nucleotides) under uncultured eukaryote. RNAcentral describes it as "partial 18S ribosomal RNA". It matches the Rfam family "Eukaryotic small subunit ribosomal RNA", at positions 592 to 976 of the family's 1831-position model. The record is from RNAcentral.